UCUUGGCAUCCGGAGACUUUCCCCUCGACCCAGUGGAGCCGUCAGGCCGGAGCCUCAGAGCCUUGACACCCAAGCACUGCCACGGAAGUCUCCCCCUUUGCCAAGCCUCGGGGACUGGUUUCUAAGACAACCGUGGGAACCACUGUGACGGGAGAAACCGCUUGUGCUUCGCGCAUGCGCAUUGGCUGGGCCGACUCGUUCUCCCCUCCUGGCAGUCAGGCUGCGUCCCCUUUAAAGAACGCCACCGCUGAGAACUGACCCUCACAUCUCCCUUCCUGAAUUUCUUUAGGGAAAGCAACAACCAUCCCUGUGCCUUGCUCCAGUCCCUGCCCCAUCCUAGACUCAGGAUGCUCU
RNAcentral lists this long non-coding RNA (354 nucleotides) under Homo sapiens (human). RNAcentral's name for it is "HSALNT0352250". The record is from RNAcentral. Lineage: Eukaryota; Metazoa; Chordata; Mammalia; Primates; Hominidae.